GCCAGAGUAGCUCAGUUGGUAGAGCAUCUCACUCGUAGCGAGAAGGCCAUGAGUUCGAUCCUCGUCUCUGGCU
This 73-nucleotide transfer RNA is filed under the name Candidatus Nomurabacteria bacterium. RNAcentral describes it as "tRNA-Thr". It matches the Rfam family "tRNA". From Rfam's summary of the family: Transfer RNA (tRNA) molecules are approximately 80 nucleotides in length. Their secondary structure includes four short double-helical elements and three loops (D, anti-codon, and T loops). Lineage: Bacteria; Candidatus Nomuraibacteriota. The record is from RNAcentral.